Sander lucioperca (pikeperch) is the source of this 149-nucleotide long non-coding RNA. RefSeq lists it as uncharacterized. The record is from RefSeq and is a predicted model, not a curated record. The transcript has 3 exons. Lineage: Eukaryota; Metazoa; Chordata; Actinopteri; Perciformes; Percidae.
GACCGUUUCCUAGUAUAACACACCGUUUCCAUGCAUAGCAGAGCGUUGCCAUGGACGCAGUUCUGUUCACUCUGGAGGACAGCUAUCAAUCCGCUGAAAGAAGUCCGGAUAAUUUAUCAGCUGUGGCAAAAAAGUAAAGAUUUUAAAUG